This 253-nucleotide ribosomal RNA is filed under the name uncultured bacterium. RNAcentral's name for it is "partial 16S ribosomal RNA". It matches the Rfam family "Bacterial small subunit ribosomal RNA", at positions 524 to 776 of the family's 1533-position model. The record is from RNAcentral.
UACGGGGGGAGCAAGCGUUGUUCGGAUUUACUGGGCGUAAAGGGCGCGUAGGCGGUAGCACAAGUCAGUUGUGAAAUCUCCGGGCUUAACUCGGAAAGGUCAACUGAUACUGUGCGACUAGAGUGCGGUAGGGGUGACUGGAAUUCCUGGUGUAGCGGUGGAAUGCGCAGAUAUCAGGAGGAACACCGGUGGCGAAGGCGGUGCUCUGGGCCGAAACUGACGCUGAGGAGCGAAAGCGUGGGUAGCAAACAGG